UUACUUUCUAGUAGCGAAGCUAACGCGUUAAGUUCUCCGCCUGGGGAGUACGGCCGCAAGGUUAAAACUCAAAGAAAUUGACGGGGGCCCGCACAAGCGGUGGAGCAUGUGGUUUAAUUCGAUGCAACACGAAAAACCUUACCUACCCUUGACAUCCUCGGAAUUUGUCAGAAAUGACUUGGUGCCUUCGGGAACCGAGUGACAGGUGCUGCAUGGCUGUCGUCAGCUCGUGUCGUGAGAUGUUGGGUUAAGUCCCGUAACGAGCGCAACCCUUGUCCUUAGUUGCCAGCGGAAUCUGCCGGGAACUUUAAGGAGACUGCCGGUAAUAAACCGGAGGAAGGCGGGGAUGACGUCAAGUCAUCAUGGCCCUUACGGGUAGGGCUACACACGUGCUACAAUGGGCAGUACAAAGGGUUGCCAAACCGCGAGGUGGAGCUAAUCCCAAAAAGCUGCUCUCAGUCCGGAUUGGAGUCUGCAACUCGACUCCAUGAAGCUGGAAUCGCUAGUAAUCGCGAAUCAGAAUGUCGCGGUGAAUACGUUCUCGGGCCUUGUACACACCGCCCGUCACACCAUGGGAGU
This 579-nucleotide ribosomal RNA is filed under the name Coxiella-like endosymbiont. RNAcentral describes it as "bacterial SSU rRNA". It matches the Rfam family "Bacterial small subunit ribosomal RNA", at positions 833 to 1411 of the family's 1533-position model. Lineage: Bacteria; Pseudomonadati; Pseudomonadota; Gammaproteobacteria; Legionellales; Coxiellaceae. The record is from RNAcentral.